Molecule: ribosomal RNA, 424 nt
Filed under: uncultured bacterium
Lineage: Bacteria
Description: partial 16S ribosomal RNA
Rfam family: Bacterial small subunit ribosomal RNA
Source: RNAcentral
GACGAACGCUGGCGGCGUGCUUAACACAUGCAAGUCGAGCGGAGCGGCGAACGGGUGAGUAAGUCGUUAGUAACUGCCCCCCUCCCUGGGGUAACAGUUGGAAACGGCUGCCAAUACCGGAUAGUGUGGGAUGACUCUGCUCCUAUCAGCUUGUUGGUGGGGUAGUGGCCUACCUAGGCGACGCCGGGUAGCCGGCCUGAGAGGGUGACCAGCCACAUUGGGCUGAGAUACGGCCCAGACUCCUACGGGAGGCAGCAGUGGGGAAUAUUGCACAAUGGGGGAAAGCCUGAUGCAGCAACGCGCGUGCGGGAUGACGGCCUUCGGGUUGUAAACCGCUUUCAGCGAGGAGGCUAAUACGUAUCAACUGUGACGUUACUCGCAGAAGAAGCACCGGCUAACUCCGUGCCAGCCGCCGCGGUAAUUC